UUUACUAGCGGAGGCAUAAAUAACAACAAGCUAUCUUAUUUCUUUAUCAUUGUGUCGUUUUAGCUGGAUAUAAAUUAGUAGCUAGCUAACAAGCAUUGUUGUCAUGUUCUUAUUUGCAAUGUAUUUUGUGUUUGAUUUAGAAAGAGAAAAGUCAAGAUCUGCUGCGUGCAUGUUUUAAAGGAUGAGAUGACUGAAAGUUCAUAUAAUAAUUGAUUUAUUCCUUAAGUUAUUUUUCUAGAGAGAGUGAGCUGCCCCGGUCUGCGGAGGAGGCGGUGCCAGUUGAAACAAUUAGCAAUAGCAAGUUGUAACAUUUUUGCAGUUCAGCUCUGAAAGGGGCAGGCCGGAGGGGCUGAUUGGACCACGUUGAUGUUGGUACAGGACCAAGGAGCUAAACGGUGACUGCAGACUCAACUCAGUUUGGGACAGCCGAGGUGGUUUGGAGACCUUGUUUGUGACUUUAGACCUAGGUGGUGGGGCGGAGGGUUACGAUGGCUGUGAGCAGGUUUGACAUAGAUGUGCUGCGGUGGGAUCAGUACACAUUUAUUGGCAGACUGAAGCACUUUGUCAACAUCACAGACUGGAGGACAGCACUACUGCCAGACUCACGACUGGAUGAGUCUAAAGCACUGGUGGAGAGCUGCAGGUAACGCACACGUACACACACACAGAUACCUCAAGGUUAGAGCGGUGGGCCAGUAACCUUAAGGUCGCUGGUUCGAAUUCCUUGAGCAAGGCCCUAUUUGCUCCAGGGACGCUGUUAAAAUAGUGGACCCUGGCUCUGACCCAGACUCUUUGCAUGUGUCUCGGAGUUGGGAUAUGCUAGAAACACAUUUCAAAUACACACUUGUACAAGUGUGUUAUAGGACAAAUAUAAUUAAGCACCCACCAAAUUAUAUAAUUAUUAUUAUAAACUGGGUGGUUCGCACACUGAAUGCUGCUUGGCUGACAGCCGUGGUAUAUCAGACCGUAUACCACAGGUAUGACAAAACAUUUAUUUCUACUGCUCUAAUUACGUUGGUAGCCAGUUUAUAAUAGCAAUAUACCAUGGCUAAGGGCUGUAUCCAGGCACUCCGCAUUGCGUCGUGCUUAAGAACAGCACUUAGCCGUAGUAUAUUGGCCGUAUACCACACCUCCUUGUGCCUUAUUGCUUAAUUAUACCACUAUGAAGUAGUAAUUUCUCUGCAGUGUUAUGUCUACAGUAGUUGUUCCUCAUGAUGAGAACCUGGGUUAUGUGUGGUUCUCCUGUUCUUGAGCAGCUUCCCUUCAUCCUGGUACCACAGAAGAACAGCUCUAUGACUCCGCCUUUCACCCAGACACCGGCGAUCGCAUGAACCUGAUUGGUCGAAUGUCCUUCCAUGUGCCUGGAGGGAUGGCCAUAACAGGCGGUAUGCUACAGUUUUACAGUCCCUGCUGUAUCUGGCAGUGAGUGAAUCAGUCGUUUAACGUUCUAGUCAACUACACCAACAGAAACGCUGCUUCCCCCAUCACCUCCAAUCAGAUAGGAGUAGCCUAUUUAACAGCAACUAGCACUGCUCUAGCUACUGCUGUGGGACUCAACCUCUACACAAAGGUACAGUUUGAUGCACAGACACACACACACUGGUUUGAUUGAUUACAUGUUCCACUUCCCCUUCCUGUCUUGUCUCUGCCCCUUCCUGUAGAAAGCUCCUCCUCUGGUGGCGCCCUGGGUUCCAUUUGCGGCGGUGGCAUCAGCUAACUGUGUCAACAUCCCAAUGAUGAGGCAACAGCGAGUUCAUCUGUGCUCCUAGUGUAUUAGCAUCCCCAUGAAGACACAACAGCGAGUUCAUCUGUGCUCCUAGUGUAUUAGCAUCCCCAUGAAGACACAACAGCGAGUUCAUCUGUGCUCCUAGUGUAUUAGCAUCCCCAUGAAGACACAACAGCGAGUUCAUAUGUGCUCCUAGUGUAUUAGCAUCCCCAUGAAGACACAACAGCGAGUUCAUCUGUGCUCCUAGUGUAUUAGCAUCCCCAUGAAGACACAACAGCGAGUUCAUCUGUGCUCCUAGUGUAUUAGCAUCCCCAUGAAGACACAACAGCGAGUUGUUGACCAUCUCCUUCUCUCCUCUCAGAGAGCUCCUGAAUGGCAUCUCUGUAACAGAUGAGAAUGGAAACAAACUGGGUCAUUCCAAGUCAUUUUCCCCAUCAUCAUGCAGAGACUGGAGGAUAACAAGUUUAUGCAGAGGAUCACCUUCGUCUCCCGACCUUUACAAGUGAUGAUGGUGGGAGCGUUCCUGGUCUCCAUGGUGCCGGCAGCCUGCUCCCUGUUCUCUCAGCAGUGUGCGCUGGAGAGGUUCCAACAAACUUGAUGGACCAUAAUGAACAUUUGGCAGAAGCUCUAACAGGCUCCAUGGGCAGUGUACAAUACAUCUACUUCAACAAGGGCCUCUGAACACAAACACACCUGCCUUCUUAAUUGUCAUGUCUUUGGCAUCAUUAAACUGAAGACAUGUUUAUCAAA
This is a long non-coding RNA of Salmo salar (Atlantic salmon), 2476 nucleotides long. RefSeq lists it as uncharacterized. The record is from RefSeq and is a predicted model, not a curated record. NCBI's taxonomy places the organism in Eukaryota, Metazoa, Chordata, Actinopteri, Salmoniformes, Salmonidae.